GACGAACCGUACAAACGUUAUUCGGAAUCACUGGGCUUAAAGGGUGCGUAGGCGGCGCAGCAAGUUGGAUGUGAAAUCUCUCGGCUCAACCGAGAAAUUGCGUUCAAAACUGCUGUGCUAGAGGGAGACAGAGGUGAGCGGAACUUAGGGUGGAGCGGUGAAAUGUGUUGAUAUCCUAAGGAACACCGGUGGCGAAGGCG
This 200-nucleotide ribosomal RNA is filed under the name uncultured bacterium. RNAcentral describes it as "partial 16S ribosomal RNA". It matches the Rfam family "Bacterial small subunit ribosomal RNA", at positions 524 to 723 of the family's 1533-position model. The record is from RNAcentral.